This 1156-nucleotide long non-coding RNA is filed under the name Sus scrofa (pig). Its description in RNAcentral is "lncRNA (ENSSSCG00035021304.1, ENSSSCG00045017796.1, ENSSSCG00055009765.1)". Lineage: Eukaryota; Metazoa; Chordata; Mammalia; Artiodactyla; Suidae. The record is from RNAcentral.
GCAGCCGCCCGAGGCCCUGCUGGGCGGGUCGGGGUGGAAAGGAGUCUGGAGUCCGCAGAAGCCUCCUCCUUUCCUGGCUUCACCUGCUCCUCCUGGUGUCUCUCCGUGGAGUCGGCGGGGAGGAGCCGCGGAAGCCGGGGCAGCCGUGACUGCACCAGGAAGAACAGCUCAGGCGUGGGCACGUGGGCUGUGAGCCCAGCCGAGAUCGCUGCCAGCACAGAGGUCCAAUCCACCCCGCGUCAGGGCCUGGACCAUGGGCCUGAGGUGUGGGUGGGGGAGAUGCCAAGACCAGAAGGAGGGUGUCAACAGAGCAUCAGGAGGCACUGACCCCAGAGCCCCUCCACGUCCCCGGGAACGGCCGGCCCCCCGUCGCCGCCGAGGGCCCUCGACCAGGAUGGACAGCCAGGGGAAGGCUGCUUGUCUCCACGCCUCUCCGACGGCUCUUCUUCCGGCCCCUCCAGCCCAGGUGGAAUCCUUGAAGCUGGAGUCAGGACUGCCGGGCUUGCGGAGACGUGGGCUCCCCAGGAAGUGCUGAGCCCAUGAUCAGAGCUGCACCCCCACAAGAAGUCACCAUGUGGAUCCCCAGAGGGGAUACUCCGGAAGUGCUUCCAUUCGGCCACCAGCAGCUGUGAUGUCCCCUGACCGUGCAUCCUGGGUCCCAGGGGAUGGUGGGUAGGGGAGCCAGGCGAGGAAGUGAGUCACAGCCCUGUGGGGUGAGCUCCCCGAGGGGAAGGGAUUGCGUAGAGUACUUGGGGGAAUUUGUGAGCCUUCAAGCUGGCCUCUGCUGCGACAGGGGCCAGCAGCCUCGUCCGCUCUGUAGUCCACUCCGGCUGCUCCCUGUAGCCAGGGGUGCGGCAUGGCAGGAACAGGCCACAGGGCAAGGGAGGAGUGUGGUGGGCUCAGAAGGCUCUGGGGAGAGGGUGCCUUGCUCCUGGUGCUGAAAGGACAGCGCCCGGCUUGGGCAGAGGCCGCGCCAAGUCCUGGCGGAAGCUUUUCCGCAAACUGGAGUGGGGCGUCAUGUGCAUCUGAAUUUUUCCACUCCUCUUCUCUGGAGCCUGUCAGUGCCGUCUUGGCAAAGAUGGUUUGAGCCUGAAAGCUUUUCCCAUCUAUUUUUAAAUAAAUGGAAUUCCUGUCACUUGCAUGAAAUUCACCCCAA